GACGCCGCCGCCUCCCGUCCCCUGGCGCCGCCGCCAUGCCCACACGCCGUCGCGCCCGCUCGUCCUCGCUCCCUCGCGCCCUCCCCUUCUCCCCGCCCUCCUCCUGCUCAGCAGGAGGAGUGCGGCUCACCGUCGUGGACUACGGCGCUCCUCCCGCCUCUCCCCAUCGUCCCCCCCGCCUCUCCCUGGAGCCUGCUCCGGCGGCCAGAUCCACGACGCCGUCCUCCUCCACGACCACGCAGCCGCAGCGGUGGAGGAGGAGCCAUGGAUCCCGAACCCUAGCCCGUGGGCAUCAGGCAGGAGGAGGCGACCACGCAGCCAUGGAUCCAUGGGGCGAAGCCAUGGAAGGGCCACCAACAACAGCACCUAUGGUCAUGGAGGUCCGCCAUGGAUGGCCUGGAGCUCGUCAUGGAAGGUCUCCAACUCCUCUGUUGGUUGGUUGGUUUGUUUCCAUUUGUCUGCUGCGGUCCCAGUUGAUGCAUCAUGCGUGCAGGCCUCCUCCCUGUCAUGUUUGUCAACAUCCAUGUUUGCUUGCUGCAACUUAAUAUUGGGACAAGAAAAAACUGCAGAACUUAAUAUUGGAACCUGCUAAGUUGAUACAAUAUAUGAGUAUUUUUUUGGCACAUAUAUUUGUUCUCCUGUGUUCGAGACAUGUAUAUUUUAUCUCAACCGUGUUAUAAUUUAUCUGUUUUAUUCUGUACAAAUUUUAGCCAAUUCCGGUUUUAGUUUAUACUUGCUUCUGAGCUCAAUUUGUAGAGCUAAUGCCUGACUAUCUCUCUGGGUUCUGCGACACUUAAAAUCAAUCAUGCUACCAGCUUAUUUCUAAGACCAAUUUAUAGCUCAGAAUGUACCAAUUCAUUUGUGAUGAUGACGAUGAGAUCAAUUUUGUUUCUGUCAAAAGCUGAGAUUAUUCACUUUGUGAAGAUCAAUAACAAUGAGGAGCAGGUGCCGGCAGCUGAGGCGUGUUUGUCUGGUACAUACGAGCCAAUUUCUCCUGUUAGGGUGGACGACAGUACAUCACUAACCCAGUCAGUGGUUAUGAAUUUCGCUCUCUGAAGGACGUGCAACGUUAUAUUGAAUCAGGAGACACAAGUAAAUGCAAUGUUAGGCCAAAGAAGAGAACUGCCCAGGAUGCUUGUAUUACACAGAAUCAAGAUUAUGUUGGUCCACUGUCUACGGGUGCUCGUGGUUCUGGUUGGUUCGUCCAGCUAUGUCUUCGGCAUCGCUCUACAGAGAGCCACAACCGCACAAGGAAAUCUAAACAGCCGGCUGGGUAUUGAUAAGAAAUACCAAUUUAAGAGGACCGUGAGAGAGCUCGAGGGAAGAACGUAGUUGAUGACCAUAUUUGGUGCCUUCUGGUGCAAACAGUGGAAGUCUUUAAGUGAGCAUGUAUUCAUGUCGAACUUCUAAGCUAUUGACUCUUUGAUUGCCUGAUCCCCUUCAUCCUUCACUGUAGGGCUUGGCAUAAAGAACACAUAAAUAUAUAUUCAUGUGAAAUUGAAAUUCAGACAACCUUAGAUGAACAUUUUUUCAUGUCAGUGGAUUGAUAGUUGUACUGAAUCUUGCCCUAUGUACAUGCCCACCUUGAAACAUGUUAUCAAUGAAUGUAUAAGUAUA
Molecule: RNA transcript, 1617 nt
Organism: Triticum dicoccoides
Lineage: Eukaryota; Viridiplantae; Streptophyta; Magnoliopsida; Poales; Poaceae
Exons: 7
Source: RefSeq, a predicted model, not a curated record